This 9737-nucleotide long non-coding RNA is filed under the name Nicotiana tabacum (common tobacco). RNAcentral describes it as "long non-coding RNA (NTAB_LNC008270)". Lineage: Eukaryota; Viridiplantae; Streptophyta; Magnoliopsida; Solanales; Solanaceae. The record is from RNAcentral.
AACACUGUGCACCGACCUGGGACAGAGAAUCUUUGCUGAGAGAACUCAAUGUUGUAAGUAAGAUCUUCUGUGUAAGCGAGGACGCAAAAGGGAGACGACUAUUUUGGAAGUCUGAGGAGCUCAUAGAAAAAUUCAAGAGCGGAGUGGCAGAAACAACAGCUUGCAGGGCCAUAUUAACUUUUUUCCAAGGUAUAUCUCACGACUUAAUGCUAGUGCAAUUGGUCUUUCUGGAAAUGUAUGUGCUCUUUUUAGAAAUGUAUGCACGGGGAGGUAGAAUCUAUAAUGUGGUUGGGCGGUUUGUUAAGGGAAAGUGUUUGCUCCUGUGAGCUAUUAGGAAAAACUACAAACAUGUCAAAUAAGGACUGGGGCCUUGGAAGAUUUAAUUUCCGCCAUUAGGGAAUUGUCACAUCCUGCAUUUAUGGAAGUUGUGCUAGAAAUAUCAGAUGUUUUCACAACCAUGUGAUGAAACCUAUCAACCUAAGGUUACAAACCUUUAUUUGGCCUCUAUGUACAAUAAUCUGUCUUAGGUGGACAGGGUUACCUCAUAGUUAUCCUCUAAAAGCCUAAGAGACUUGCCAAAUACUGACUUUGCAGUUUCUGGCUCGAAGCUGAAUCAAAUAUUUUCAUCCUAGUCUAAGUGAUAUAGGACCAGCUUCUAGUGAUACCUCACGACAAAGUGUUGAACAUAUAUUUUCACAAUCGGCUUUAGAAUUUUGGAAACGUAAUAAAUCUGCGUUCAUGAUAAGAGAGAGAGAGGGAGAGAGAGAGAGAAGAAAAGGUACGCAUUGUUUCCUUUUCGUGCUCUUUCUUCUUUAUCUCUUCAUUUUUUCCUGGAUUAUGAAAAAGUAUUCUAUUGAUAAAGAGGAGAAAGAGAAAAUUAUACGACCAGAGGUCCUCCUAGCAAAAAGUUGUAACAAAAUUGAAAAGGAAAAGAAAACAAAGCACCGAUAAAACUGUUUUAGCAAUGCAGUCUGAUUCUGAUGUAGAUCUCUAAGUGUUAAAGAUCCCUGAAAGACCAUUGUUCUUAUACCAUAUAUUACCUUUUUUCAUAAAAGAUAUUCCAGAAUAUUGUAUUACCUAACUCGCUAUGCUUGGUGCCGUCUCGUGCUACGCUAUUUGAUUGAGAGCCUUCCUGUGCUACGCUAUUUGAUUGAGAUUCGAAAUAACCCUAUUGAUCCUUCAAUAAUCUUGGAUUCUUUUCCAUCCAAAUACAUUGUCUUACUCUGAAUCAUGGUAAAUGCUACAAUUUUCCCUUCCCUCUUCCUCGCUGAUACCCAAACUCUGGUAUUCAACAUAGAACUGAGUGAAGCUGUGAUACAACAGAUUUUCCGAUGCUGCAAAUAACCUACUCCAUAAUGCAAUAGAAAGGGGAAAUGUGAGAAGGUAUGGUAUGCCUCUCAUCUCUUCGCUUACUAUGCAAACAUCAGAGACGAUGAACCUUCAUUUUGUGAACCUGCAACAAUUGGUCGUGUUUUACUUUAGGACGAAAGACCGUAUGAAACCCUUAACUCGUAGAUAAGAGGGUUAUGUUUCAGUUCUUGAAAUGAGAAAUAGGAUUUACAUGAGAAAUAACCUGAACUAUGCAAGUUGCACACCCUUUUAUUCAACAUGGGUAUGAUAACAAAUGGAAAGGACAUCAUGCAAUGGAAUAAAUUAUUACUAUUUUGUUUGUUCUCUCCUCAAAUUCAUUGUAUCUGCUCUUAUUUCCUCAGACGCUCUUAUGGUAUUCUAAAAUCGUCCCUCGUGUCACUCUGAAUAGUCAUUCCAUCUUUGAACCAAACUCACUAUUCCUCUAUCAACUCUGAAGGAAUCAUAUGGAUCCUGUAUGGUCCAUACUUUUUAGCAUUUGAGAUACCAUACUCUCUGCAGAAGGGCCAACUGGUCAAGACUGCUAGCCAAAUACACUAGCUGCGCCUAACAUUUUAAUAAACGCUUUGAUGCUUUUCUCAUCAUUUUGUUUUUGUGUUUAAGUUCCAUGGUCUCGCUCCCAAUUAUUUUAUCUUUCUUCUUCCUUGAUAGUGAACUCUUCUAUGAGUGAUUUGUUUUCGGUCCUAUUUUGAUUUUGGAGCUUAUCCGCAUUUUCGGGGACAUCAUGGAUGGAGACCAGGGACUAAUUUGAAGGAGGAAAACAUGGUAGAUUUCCGAUUAUUCGUCCUAGCAAAAAUUUGGGGUGUUCCUUCUUCCCAGCAAGUAUUAUCCAGCCAAGUUUUUGUGGCAAAUUGUUUUUUUUUUUUUGGGGGGGGGGGGGGGAGGUGGGGUUGGCGGGAAUGAGAAGAGUUGGUACAUACACUUAAAACAAUUGACAAUUAUGGAAAUCCUGCGCAAAUGAAUGGAUAGAUUGGUGUUAAUCGAAAGGAAGAAUAUCUAGAUUAAAGCUUAUCUUUUAUUUCGUAGUUAAAGAUCAUCUCACUGCCACUGAUCAGCAAAAUAUUUCUACUUGCUUGGUUUAAGAAAAUAAAUAAUAAUAAACAGGCAUACAAAUUGAAAGGUAAAGGUAAGUUCCUUAAAACAAUUAUAAGACCAACAAUGUUAUUGGAAGUGAAUGUUGGGUUGCUAAAAUCCAACAGAUCCACAAGAUAAGUGUCGCAAAGAUACAAAUGGUAAGAUGGAUACACGGUCAUACAAGAUUAGACAACAUUAAAAAUGACCAUAUUCACUGGAAGGUGCAAAUAGCACACAUUGAGGAUAAAAUGAGAGAAGAUCGCUUGACAUGGUGUGGUCAUGUCCUGCUUUGACCUCCAUAUGCACCGAUCCAUAGGUGUGAAACCAUGGUGAAUGAAGGUGUUAAAUGGGAACGAGGUAGACCUAAAAUCAUAUGGAGGAAAUUGUUUUGGAAGACCUACAACCUCUUAGAAUCAAUAUACCAAUUAGUUGGGAAUAUAUUUUAGUCUUGCUAUAUAAGUUUACCUUAGGUCCUAGGCUUUCUAGGAGUUUUAACCUUAUUAGAGAUUCUUAUGCCAGUAGAGAUUACACAGAACUUUUGGCAUUUCCCAUUUUUAUUUUGUAUAAUGUUGGCUUGAGAUGAAUUUAAAUGGGGAACACAGUCAAUGAAGAUUCAUAUAGUUGACCCCAACUUGUUUGGAACUGAGCCGUAGUAAUUUUUGCUCUAAUAAUAACCGGGCCAAGACUUGAGUGGGCUUGUUAAAAUUCUUAAAUUUAGGAGUAUUCUCUCUCUCAGUUUAAGAUUUUACAUUCCGUGGUUCAUAUAAUUCAGCAUUGAUCUCAUAGCCUUCGUAGCCAGAUGACAAAAAAAAUCCAGUCUUCUCAUUUCUGAUGGUUCAUCAAGCAGAAAAGGAUUUAAGGGCCUCUUUUCCAAUCACAUCUACCUUAAAUGGAUUACAGUUUGAUUCCUCUUGUCCUUUUUUUCAGUUUGCCGUCCCAAAAAUUUGAAAUAAGUAAACUUCUAGAAUGUCGGAAAAUUCUUCUUUAUAUCUGUUGUCUAUUUUCUAGAAGAAUGAUUUUGGCUAGUAUUGAUUCAUUUACUCUUUGGGCAAAGAGUUUGAGUUGGACUCACCAAAGAGCUCUGAGGCUGGAAAUAGUAGUAUGCAGCUGCCACCGCAGGAGGCAUGCAACCGAAUUGCCCAAGUGGUACAAGAGGCAGUGCAGAAAAUGGAAUUGGUGGCUGACGAAAAGAUGAGAAUGCUAAAGAAAGCUCGCGUAGCUCUUGCGGCUUGUGAUCAUGAACUGGAAGAAAAAGCAAAGGAAGUUGCAGAAAUAAAAAUGGAGAGGCAGCAGAAAGGGCAACAGAUAGAUGAAUUGGAGAGCAUUGUUAGGCUUAAACAAGCAGAGGCUGAUAUGUUCCAGCUUAAGGCUGAUGAGGCUAGACGAGAAGCGGACAGGUUGCAUAUGAUUGCUCUUUCAAAAUUAGGGAAAUGUGAAGAAGACUAUGCCAGCAGAUACCUAAAACAACGCCUUAGUGAGGCUGAGGCUGAGAGGCAAUUCCUUCUCGAGAAGAUUAAACUUCAAGAUCACGGUUCGGGUUCAUCACAAAGUAAUGGCAUGGCGGACCCCCCGCAAGCACUCUUAUCUAAAAUACAAGAGAUUCUCAAGAGUGUACAAUAGCUCGGAGCUCUCACUAAAGCUACACAACCAACCAAAUGAACGUCUUUGUAGAUGGCCUUGUUACUAUUAUUGGCUUGUAUUGUGUGUAGUUGCAACUCCAGAAACAAUGUGAAACAAUGUGGAGUAAUUUGGUAUUAGGAUUCCGCUUAUGACUGUAUUGUGGACUAGUAGAUGUAUAUCUCAUGCACACACUCAUAUUAAUUGUUGUUUCCUCGACCUACUUCAUUGAAACACGGGUAAAGAAAGGAUCAACUCGAUUUUAACCUUUCGGGGUCGUUUGGCAUGAUGCAUUAGAGAAAAUAUCUCUAAUGCAUGCAUUAGCUUUUGGUAAUACUAAUUCCUUGUUUGGUACACUUUUUCAAUCUAUGUAUAACUAAUGCAAUAUUUGGUAUUAUCUUAUGUAUUACUAAUACAUAGCUAACCAUGGUAUUAGCAAUACCAACGCUAUUAGGGGUCGCUUGGUAGGGUGCAUAAGAAUAAUGUUGAAUAGGGUGUGUUAGUAAUGCUGGUAUUAGUAUGCUGGCAUAUUUUUUAUCCAUUGAUUGGUUUGAUGUAUUAAAGCAUUGCACAAUUUCUAAAAGAAUUUUAUUUACAAAAAUACCCUCAUAACCAGUCCAUCACUUUAUCUUUUUAAAAGAAACAUAUGUUGUGGAAUGUUUUUAUAUGAAAAAAUUAUUUGAUUUAUCUACCUAUAUUGUAGUAUAGAACUGAAUAUUUAUUUAUAAAAAGAAAAUAUGCUAAGUAUUUAUUUAUCUACUAGGGGUAUAAUUUUAUUUUCCACUUUCUUGGAUUAUUAGGCAAAGAAAGUUUGAAUUAAAAAAUAAAAGAAAAAUAAGUUGAAUGCAAGUGCAUUCCAGUACGUAGUAGUAGAGUACAGAUUUUAUAAAUUUACAAUGAAAAAUUGGCGGAGUAUAGAUAUAAAUAGCAUGAGUAAUUUCAGUAUCAAACUUGCAUUAAUAAGCGGAAUUAUUUUCGCAGGUGCGAGAGUGCGACUGGGCAGUGGGCUUCGCAGAAGCGAUGAUGGCAUCGCAGAAGCAACGUCGCAUAUGCGCCAAUCUGUCCGCAGAGCAAAACUGGGCAGAUUAUUAAGGGAUCGAACUUGGUCAUUUUUCUCAUUUCGUUUUGGAUUUUUGGAGCUCGGUUUUGGGCGAUUUUGGAGGAGUUCUUCACGACUUCGACUUGGGUAAGUGUUCUAUAUCCGAAAGUGAUUAUAUCUCAUAAAUUCAUGGUUAUAUUCAUCAUUUAUUUCAAAUUUAAUGGAAGAAAUUGAGAAAAAUUGUGAAAUCUUCCGAAAGUGUAAAUUGGAGAUUUGGAGGACGAUUUGUUGUUGGAAUUUAAUAAUAUUUUGGUAUGGUUGAACUCGUAUCAAAUGGGGGUUUGGAUUUCGUGAAUUUUCGUCGGGUUCCGAGACGUGGGCCCGAGGGUUGACUUUGUUGACUUUUCGAGCGGAGUUGAGAAUUAUUAUAAAUUGUUAAGUUACACGCAUCGGAGUAUAUUUUGAUUGUUUUGCACAUUGUUUGAUUAGUUUCAGAUCGUUUGGCUUUGAAUUGAAGAGGCAUUGGAGCCGGUUAUGGAAUUUCGGAGCGAGGUAAGUCUCCUGUCUAACUCUGUGAGGGGGAAACUACCCCUAGGUGAUGUAUUUGAUGUGUGCUACUUGUUGCGGGGGUUACGUACGCACGAGGUGACGAGAGUUCGUACGUAGCUAGGUUCAUGUUAUGUCCGGAUAGACUUAGGUUCCCACCAUGCUAUAACUGUACUAUUCGAGUUGUCCCUUGCCUAUGAAAUUCCUUUAUUUUACGUUGCGACGUGAGGCUAGACUCGCGUAGAGUGAUAGACUUGCUAUUAUAGAGAUAUGACGGGCUUUAUGAUUAGCCGCGGAAUAAUUGUACUCUUACAAAUUUCUUCCGUGCUAUGCGUUUUCCUCGAAAGACUUUCCUUAAAUAUUUAUAUAUCACACAUUUAUUCGUGAGUGGGGUCAAGGACCCAUUAAAGCUUCUUAUUCUAAUGAGAUCGAGUCGUUCGCCUCGACAGUAUAAUAGAUGCAUCUAUGGUUCGUGCCGUUCGACCCUCGGCAAUGCGCACAAUAUGAUGUGAUCGGGCCGUUCGCCUCGGCAGGAUUUUUGUAUCAUAUCUCAUGGGAGCGCGCCGUUCGCCUCGGCAAUAUAAUAGAUAUAUCUAUGGUUCGUACCGUUCGACCCUCGGCGGUGCACACAGUAUGAUGGGAUCGGGCCGUACGCCUCGACAUUUCUAUAAAAUACUUUUACGGAAUCGUGCGUAAUAAUUUACAAGAAACCAAUGUAUCUGCGAUUUUUCCUGAUUUGGAUUGUGACAAUCUAUUUGGUGAGGUCUGUCACACUCCUUUUUUCCCCCUCACUAACCCUUUUUAAAAUAGAUAAAGUGGUUUUAAAGCUCAAAGGGUUUUCAAUCAUGAAAGUGACAAAAAGAUUGCGUUUCGAAGGAUUUUCAGAGUCGCCACCUGACAUUUGGUUUCGGUGUGCCAAGUCACCAUUUUUAAAAUAAUAAUUUUUCUUCAAAACACAUUUGACUCUAAAACUGACUGCAUCAGAGAUUCUAGAUAAGGGGGUUCAUUUGACUCGGGGAGAAGGUGUUAGGCAUUCCCCGAGUCCCGUAACCAGUACGGUUGCAUAUAUGAUCCGGUUGGCUUUUAAGAAUAUUUGGACUAAGGUAAGAAACACACAAAAGGAAAAUAAAUAGCAAAAGAGGUUUGAGGUCGUCCCUUCCUAAUAAAAGAAAAGAAAAUAAAAUAAAAUAAGUCUUACUAGCCUAUACUAUGCCUCUACUGACGAUGCCACAGCCUCCGUUUACAUUCAAUACGGGGCAUGCCCCGAAUAAAAUAUAUACCAAAUUUACGGGGAAUUCCCCUGAAUAUAAACUAAAGGGAACGACCUCUCGCCUCGAAUAAAAUAAAAUAGAAGAUCUAAAAUUUGCCUACCCAAGUGUGGUCGGCCUAAGCAUGCUCCUAACGGAUAAGUAGUAGAAUAAAAUAAAACUAAAAAAAACAAUUCAUGGCAUGCUUUUCUUUUAAUUUCUCAUUUCAUGUAUUUAGACCGAGCUCGAUCCUAAAGCAUGUAGAUGAAAUUAAUACUAAUGAGCUCGAUCUUUCCCAAUUCCCACGACCCAAUUUACUCAACGAAAGCGAGUUCAUUUUGAAGCCUCGAAACAGAUAGAAAGCAAUCAGGCAAACAAGUGCAAAGCCACGUAAACGAAAAUAACAAAAUGAAUAAAGAAGAGGUGGAUUGAAGCAUGAUGAGAGCCAUGACCCUCCUACGGACUAAUCUGUGUAACUUCCCCUACUUCACUGUUCAUACUUGAAUUGUUCUUUUUGAACUUCUCCUAAACCAAUUUCCCAAUACAUUAAGGAUCUUACACGUACGGUCUUUCACACCAGGAGCAUUUGAACACAAUUCCUUCACAAAGUCAGGCCAAUGGUUCACGCAUUCAGAGUCAGACAGACACUCAAAGAAAGUUGGCCACCAAUUUCAUUUUUGACAACAUAAAAGCUGGAGUUCUUAGCAGACAAUUAAACUCAUUUUUUACACUUUACAGCUUUAGUUUACUCAUUGAAACACAAAUGUAAUUUUUGAAAAAAAUAAUGUUACGAACACAGACCAACAUAUCAAACGAUCACUUUUCCAGUCACAUACCAAUUAAUAAAUGUCACAACCUGCUUUUAAAUCGUGCCAACUCAAUGCACCUAACUCGCUUCAUGAUUUACUAAACUCAUGACAAAACUGAUCAUGCAGGGAAACAACUCACAAAUUCAAGUAAGCAACAGAGAAUUCUAUCACAUAACAUUUAACGCGACGAAGUUUAGGAUCAGUUAACACAUAUGCCUUUGAAAAUAUCAGAUUAACCAUUCGCUUAGCUUGAUACUAGGAACAUUAACAAAUCCCCUUUCAUGAAGAAACUAACUUCAACCGGAUAACAAAGGGAUUAUUGAUCAACAUAGCCUUUUAGAGUUAAAUGCUCACAUGAAUAUUGGUGGUUACAACCUAACACUCUAACAAAAUCCAAAAGGAAAUCAUGAUUCAGUCAAGAAAGCCAACAUAUGUGCCAUCGACCAGAAUUAACAAAGACGCGAUUUAAAACCAAGAGAGAUAAUUGAAUGAGUGUAAACAGAUACAACUGGUCGGUCUUUUACUUGUCCAUGGGUCCACAUUGAAUUUGAGUUUCUAAUACAUAGUCCAACUGAUUCUUUCAGUUAAACACAUGGAAUUUAUAUGAAGUUGCAAGCAUUUCAUUCCAAAGGAUAUAACAAAAUCAGUUUUCACACACAAUUGUCACGAACGAAAUAGAGGCAGACACGAUGAGAAUUCCACAAAAUAAGCACUUGGAACACCUAAAAAUGGACUUUAGAACAUGGAUACUAAUCGACUACUGGUGAAUGAGUCGAAAUGCACGUCGAUUUACAAUUUAUAUAGGAAAUCAGCAUAAGCUAGCAGGUAUAAACAACAGACCAAAGCACCAAUGAAAAAAGAUCAUUCAGAACGGGGCAGAUUAGUGAAACAUUCAGCAAGAUUCAAGUAUUUUUGUUCACAUCAAUCAUUCCUACAUCAAACAACAAGAACAUAGAACUAACAUUCUUCCCAAAGCGAAACUAAAUCUGAAGCUAACCUAUAGACGCAAUUCUUUAAAAACUAAAUGUUAAGAACCUAAAGGUGUUAAUAAAUCCCACACCCGACUGCCAUGGCUCUUGUCAUACUUUCAAUCAACACCAAAACAGAAGUAAAGGGAAGAAGAAUGAACCUUGAAUGACAAGAUCGUUUUCAAUGUAUUCCGUUGAAAGACGCAAAUACAAGCGGAUUCAGCAACCGAAAUUUGAAAUGAACGAUACUACAGCAACAGGAACCAAGAGCCACGAACGGACCUCAUAACGGCAACUCGAUCACUCGGACCUCGAAUAGCAAUCAACAAACAGCUCAAAAUAAACUCGACUCAAUCAAACUCUAUAGUCGAAAUCCAAAUCCGAAAUCGGAACUGAUGAAGCAGAUUUUUUUUUCAUAUUUUUUAUUGAGAAUUUAGAGUUAAAAAUCGGUGGAAGGUGAAAAAUGAAGAACAAUCCCUAAAAGAAACCUAGCUCUUUUCUUUUCUCACUGUUUUCUCUUUUCUCCCCUCGAACUCCAGAAAAAUAAUCCCCAUAUUUAUAGGAACUCUAGAAACUUCUAUUCUUUUCCUCCAAGAAAACCAGAAAAUCCUCUAAAAAUCUCCAAAUUCGUUUGUUAAAACAAGUAGAGGACAAAUGGAAGGAGUAGAUUGAGCCGAAACUCAAUCCUACGCUCACCAUUCGUCCUCCCUUGCCUUAAACGAACCGUGUGAGUGAAGAGUGUGUGAGUGAAGAGUGCGUGAGAGAGAUGAAAUAUUCUUGUCAGAAGUUCGUUAGGCUAGGGCUACGUGGCAAAGAGAGGAAAGAGGGGACCAUUGGAGCGGGUUCCGGCGGGUUUGGGUAGUGAAGCGGCAGAUGGUUGAGAGAAGAGGGGUGGUGCGGCUAGGUUAGAGUGAACUAGGGUUAGGGGAUUUUAGGAUUAUAAUUGGGGUUUUAUGUGUUAGGGGGAAUUAAUGGUAGCCCUUGGAUUAGAUGGGAUGGAAGGCUAAGAUUAAGUAGGGAGAUGGGGCGGAUCAGCUGGUGGGUCAGCGGGUCAUCGGAUUGGGCUGCC